CCUACGGGUGGCAGCAGUGGGGAAUAUUGGACAAUGGGGGCAACCCUGAUCCAGCCAUGCCGCGUGUGUGAAGAAGGCCCUCGGGUUGUAAAGCACUUUCAGUGAGGAAGAACGCCUGGUGGUUAAUACCCAUCAGGAAAGACAUCACUCACAGAAGAAGCACCGGCUAACUCCGUGCCAGCAGCCGCGGUAAUACGGAGGGUGCGAGCGUUAAUCGGAAUUACUGGGCGUAAAGCGCGCGUAGGUGGCUUGAUAAGCCGGUUGUGAAAGCCCCGGGCUCAACCUGGGAACGGCAUCCGGAACUGUCAAGCUAGAGUGCAGGAGAGGAAGGUAGAAUUCCCGGUGUAGCGGUGAAAUGCGUAGAGAUCGGGAGGAAUACCAGUGGCGAAGGCGGCCUUCUGGACUGACACUGACACUGAGGUGCGAAAGCGAGGGUAGCAAACAGGAUUAGAUACCCUUGUAGUC
RNAcentral lists this ribosomal RNA (465 nucleotides) under Vreelandella stevensii. RNAcentral describes it as "partial 16S ribosomal RNA". It matches the Rfam family "Bacterial small subunit ribosomal RNA", at positions 338 to 795 of the family's 1533-position model. The record is from RNAcentral. Lineage: Bacteria; Pseudomonadati; Pseudomonadota; Gammaproteobacteria; Oceanospirillales; Halomonadaceae.